GGUCUCUUAGCUUAACUGGAUAGAGCGCGGCCCUCCGAAGGCCAAGGUCGGGGUUUGAGUCCCUGAGAGAUCACCA
Molecule: transfer RNA, 76 nt
Filed under: Acinetobacter baumannii
Lineage: Bacteria; Pseudomonadati; Pseudomonadota; Gammaproteobacteria; Moraxellales; Moraxellaceae
Also listed under: 1 other name
Description: tRNA-Arg
Rfam family: tRNA
About the family: Transfer RNA (tRNA) molecules are approximately 80 nucleotides in length. Their secondary structure includes four short double-helical elements and three loops (D, anti-codon, and T loops). Further hydrogen bonds mediate the characteristic L-shaped molecular structure. tRNAs have two regions of fundamental functional importance: the anti-codon, which is responsible for specific mRNA codon recognition, and the 3' end, to which the tRNAs corresponding amino acid is attached (by aminoacyl-tRNA synthetases). tRNAs cope with the degeneracy of the genetic code in two manners: having more than one tRNA (with a specific anti-codon) for a particular amino acid; and 'wobble' base-pairing, i.e. permitting non-standard base-pairing at the 3rd anti-codon position.
Source: RNAcentral